CGUUAGCGGCGGACGGGCGAGUAACACGUGGGUAACCUACCUAUAAGACUGGGAUAACUUCGGGAAACCGGAGCUAAUACCGGAUAAUAUUUCGAACCGCAUGGUUCGAUAGUGAAAGAUGGUUUUGCUAUCACUUAUAGAUGGACCUGCGCCGUAUUAGCUAGUUGGUAAGGUAACGGCUUACCAAGGCGACGAUACGUAGCCGACCUGAGAGGGUGAUCGGCCACACUGGAACUGAGACACGGUCCAGACUCCUACGGGAGGCAGCAGCG
Molecule: ribosomal RNA, 272 nt
Filed under: uncultured Staphylococcus sp.
Lineage: Bacteria; Bacillati; Bacillota; Bacilli; Caryophanales; Staphylococcaceae
Description: partial 16S ribosomal RNA
Rfam family: Bacterial small subunit ribosomal RNA
Source: RNAcentral